UUAUGGCUCAGGAUGAACGCUAGCGACAGGCCUAACACAUGCAAGUCGAGGGGCAGCGCGGGGUAGCAAUACUCUGGCGGCGACCGGCGCACGGGUGCGCAACAGGUGUGCAAUCUGUCCAUAGUCGGGGGAUAGCCCAGCGAAAGCUGAAUUAACACUCCAUGUGAAUCGAAGCCGCAUGACUUUGAUUUGAAACGUAAGGACUAUGGGUGAGCACGCUUCUGAUUAGAUAGUUGGUGAGGUAACGGCUCACCAAGUCGACGAUCAGUAGGGGUUCUGAGAGGAAGGUCCCCCACAUUGGAACUGAGACACGGUCCAAACUCCUACGGGAGGCAGCAGUGAGGAAUAUUGGUCAAUGGGCGAGAGCCUGAACCAGCCAAGUCGCGUGAAAGGAUGAAGGUUCUAUGGAUUGUAAACUUCUUUUGUCCGAGGGUAAAAAGGCUACGUGUAGCUUCUUGCAAGUAUCGGACGAAUAAGCAUCGGCUAACUCCGUGCCAGCAGCGGC
This 505-nucleotide ribosomal RNA is filed under the name uncultured bacterium. RNAcentral's name for it is "bacterial SSU rRNA". It matches the Rfam family "Bacterial small subunit ribosomal RNA", at positions 17 to 518 of the family's 1533-position model. The record is from RNAcentral.